This is a long non-coding RNA of Dalotia coriaria, 716 nucleotides long. RefSeq lists it as uncharacterized. Lineage: Eukaryota; Metazoa; Arthropoda; Insecta; Coleoptera; Staphylinidae. The record is from RefSeq and is a predicted model, not a curated record. The transcript is spliced from 2 exons.
CGGCUACAAUUUGAUUAAUCGAACUAAACUGCGACACGAUGGAUGCAUCCAUGCGGGCAGGAAGAGUCACACAACCCACAAGUGCAAGAACAGAAAGACAAAUCGAAUCGAAGAGCGAGUGCGGCACAGAAGUACUGAAGAUACACGUAUAGUACUCGUACUCGUCGCCAUGCCAAGCAUGGACAACAACUCAAACUUAACGAACUUAAAACAAAUUUAAGUAUGUAUAAUGUAUAAAUAUAUACAUGCAGCACAAAAAAUCAUCACAAAAUCAAGUUGACUUACAAAGUUAUAGAUGUGUCUAUAAAGUGAAACUUAAAUCGAGGUAUGCUUGGGAAUCAUUAAUGCGACAUUCAUUAAUAAUUAUUUUAUAAUUAAAGUAUCAUUAAAGUGUUGUUAACGUCUUAAAUGUGUUAUUAAUUAUUCGACACUUGUUUACGGCUGUAAAAAACGUGUUUUUAGUGUGUUUGCCUUAGCGUCUACAACUGAUUUUUAUAUUAUGUAGACGUAAAACAAAUUAAUUCGAAAAUACAUAUCUAAGUUAUAAAUUUUAUUUCAUCUACAGUUCUUUUUUAAUUAUUUAUUUCCAGCCGGAAAUACUUUAAUCGCUUUAAGAUGAGCAUCAAGAUAAUUUAUGAUUAUUAUUAUCUUCUGGAAUAUCUUGAUUAUUCAUGUUUUUAAUAAUGAUAAUAAAAGAUUUUAGUAAUAUAUAGAAA